UACAGAGGGGGCAAGCGUUGUUCGGAAUUACUGGGCGUAAAGGGCGCGUAGGCGGCCUGCUAAGUCGAACGUGAAAUCCCUGGGCUCAACCCAGGAACUGCGUUCGAUACUGGUUGGCUUGAAUUCGGGAGAGGGAUGCGGAAUUCCAGGUGUAGCGGUGAAAUGCGUAGAUAUCUGGAGGAACACCGGUGGCGAAGGCGGCAUCCUGGACCGACAUUGACGCUGAGGCGCGAAAGCCAGGGGAGCAAACGGG
Molecule: ribosomal RNA, 253 nt
Filed under: uncultured bacterium
Lineage: Bacteria
Description: partial 16S ribosomal RNA
Rfam family: Bacterial small subunit ribosomal RNA
Source: RNAcentral